This 1395-nucleotide ribosomal RNA is filed under the name Cossonus sp. NLG-2014. RNAcentral describes it as "partial 16S ribosomal RNA". The stretch from base 1 to 399 matches the Rfam family "Microsporidia small subunit ribosomal RNA", at positions 768 to 1311 of the family's 1311-position model. Lineage: Eukaryota; Metazoa; Arthropoda; Insecta; Coleoptera; Curculionidae. The record is from RNAcentral.
UUCUUGAAAAUUAAUGGAGUUGGCGGUAUUUUAGUUUAUUCAGAGGAACCUGUCCUAUAAUCGAUGAUACACGAUUUAAAUUACUUGUUUUGUUGGUUUGCAUAUCGCCGUAGUUUGAAUAUUUUGAAAGAAUUGAUAAUAUUCAAAAUUUUACUGAUAAAAUAAAUCAGGUCAAGAUGUAGCUUAUAAAUAAGAAGAGAUGGGUUACAUUUUUAUUUAAAAUUUAGAUUGGAUUAAUUAUCUUGAAAGGAAUUUUGAAAGUGGAUUUGAGAGUAAUUUUAGAUUUAUUUUUAGGAUGAUUUUGGCUCUAAAAUAUGUACAUAUCGCCCGUCGCUUUCACUUUAAAGUGGAAUAAGUCGUAACAAAGUAGGUGUACUGGAAAGUGUAUCUGGAAAGACAAAUUAGAGCUUAAAGAGUUUUUUAUUUACAUUAAAAAGGUUGUUGCUCAUACCAACAUAAUUUGAGGACAAAUAAUUAUUUAAUUUAAUAUUUUAUAAAUAGUUGUUUUAUUGGAAGGUGAUUAAUAUUUUAUUAAUUUUAUUGAAAAAAUUUUUAUUAUAAUAGAUAAAUAGUAUCGAGAUAGAAUUUUUUUUAUUCUAGUAAAAGAAGAAUUUGGGUUUUGUACCUUGUGUAUCAGGGUUGAUCAAAAAUAGCUUUGUGUAAAGAUUUCCCGAAUUUAGAAGAGUUAUAUACAUAUAUUUUUUACUGUUGAAUAAUUAAGAUUAAUAUAUAUAUUGAAGUGAAAUGCUAUUCGAUUUUAAAUUUAUCUGGUUUUUUAAGAAAUAGGUUUAAUCUACUUUUUUAAAAUUAUAAAAUUUAUUUUUUAAUUUUAUGAUUUAUGAAGGAAAAAUUAUAUGGGACGAGCUUUAUAAUUGAUUAUAUACAUAUUAUUAUUAUUUUGUUAAUAUUUAGGAUUAGAAGUUUCCACUAUUGUUAGGGUGUUAUAACUAAUUAACUAUUUAAUAAAAUUUUAAUUAUUAUUAUAUUUUUUAUUAAAAUAUAGGUUUAAAUAAUAAAUAUUUAGUAAUAAUGAUUGAAUUAGUAUAAUUUUAACUUAAUGUUUUUUGUUUUUAUAAGUUUUAAGGUUUUUUAAAGGAACUUGGCAAAUAUAUUUUUCACCUGUUUAUUAAAAACAUGUCUUUUUGAUUAUAAUCUAAAGUCUGACCUGCCCAAUGAUAAUUUUAAAUGGCUGCGGUAUAUUGACCGUACAAAGGUAGCAUAAUCACUAGUUUUUUAAUUGAAAGCUUGAAUGAAAGGUCUGAUGGAAAAAGAGCUGUCUCUGUAAAAAUUAAUUAGAAGUUUAUAUUUAAGUAAAAAAGCUUAAAUAUUUAUAGAAGACGAGAAGACCCUAUAGAGCUUUAUUGUUUUUUUUUAUUUUGGGAAAUAAGAAUUUAA